UACGUAGGUGGCGAGCGUUGUCCGGAAUUACUGGGCGUAAAGAGCGCGCAGGCGGCUGGUCAAGUCCGACGUGAAAUCUCCCGGCUUAACUGGGAAAUUGCAUCGGAAACUGAUCGGCUUGAAGGUGGGAGAGGGUAGCGGAAUUCCCGGUGUAGUGGUGAAAUGCGUAGAUAUCAAGAGGAACACCUGAGGUGAAGACGGGUUGCUGGGCUGACACUGACGCUGAGGCGCGAAAGCCAGGGGAGCAAACGGG
Molecule: ribosomal RNA, 253 nt
Filed under: uncultured bacterium
Lineage: Bacteria
Description: partial 16S ribosomal RNA
Rfam family: Bacterial small subunit ribosomal RNA
Source: RNAcentral